Molecule: long non-coding RNA, 586 nt
Filed under: Gallus gallus (chicken)
Lineage: Eukaryota; Metazoa; Chordata; Aves; Galliformes; Phasianidae
Source: RNAcentral
AUAAAUGGAGGACCAAGACACUUUUGAGAAUGCAGCAUGAACAAGGCACUAAACAUUUUUAAGGAGCUAUACAAAAAGGGUAGGGGGACAGUUAGGACAACCUAUUUUCUGUGGCAAACUGCUUGGACACAGACUAGUUCACGUAACAGUUUUCGGAUAUUUAGGCACUGAUGUGAUGUGCUUUGGUGAGUCCUGUGUGAAGUACUGUGGAAAUGGCUACAAUCACUGCUCAUGCUUACAUUUGAAUAAAAUAAGAUGUUAACAACAAAUUUCCUUCUAUAAUACAAAACAGAUUUGUCCUCUGUGAAAUCAGAACUUCUCCAAGAAGAAAACAUCACCCAGCGCUACUAAGGAUUCACAAAGACGUUCUUGGAAACAGCUGUCAAACAUGUCACUCAUUUCCUCUCUCAACUCCCUCAGCAGAAGCACUGUGGACUUACCAUCUGCAUUCAGAAUUUGCCGGAAAAAUUUACCCCAGAAAUCAGAGCCAACAGUCUUGGAUACAUUUUGGCUGAUUUUCCAAACGGAGUUCUCCUGAUAGACCUGGACAUGCUCACCAAACAGCAUCAAAUGGGCUAUAUCUGCU